This 72-nucleotide transfer RNA is filed under the name Ornithorhynchus anatinus (platypus). It matches the Rfam family "tRNA". Rfam says of the family: Transfer RNA (tRNA) molecules are approximately 80 nucleotides in length. Their secondary structure includes four short double-helical elements and three loops (D, anti-codon, and T loops). The record is from Rfam by way of RNAcentral. Lineage: Eukaryota; Metazoa; Chordata; Mammalia; Monotremata; Ornithorhynchidae.
AGCAGCGUGGCUAAGUGGAAAGAGCCCACACUGGGGAGUCAGAGGUCAUGGGUUCGAAUCCCAUCUCUGCCA